GGGCUGGUAGCUCAGUUGGUUAGAGCGGGGGACUCAUAAUCCCUAGGUCGUGGGUUCAAGUCCUACCCAGCCUA
This 74-nucleotide transfer RNA is filed under the name Planctomycetaceae bacterium. Its description in RNAcentral is "tRNA-Ile". It matches the Rfam family "tRNA". Rfam says of the family: Transfer RNA (tRNA) molecules are approximately 80 nucleotides in length. Lineage: Bacteria; Pseudomonadati; Planctomycetota; Planctomycetia; Planctomycetales; Planctomycetaceae. The record is from RNAcentral.